Molecule: long non-coding RNA, 1661 nt
Organism: Mus musculus (house mouse)
Lineage: Eukaryota; Metazoa; Chordata; Mammalia; Rodentia; Muridae
Product: predicted gene, 34254
Exons: 3
Source: RefSeq, a predicted model, not a curated record
AGGAAGUGGCACUACUUGGGAAGGAAGAAGUGUAUCACAGCCAGGCCCAGUAUGGCUCUCUUCUCCUGAUGCCUGAGGAUCCAGAUGUGAAAUCCUCAGCUACUUGUCCAGCCCCAUGUCUGCCUGUGUGCCACCAUCCUACCUGCCACGAUGGUAGUGGACUAAACCUCUGAAAUGUACAAUGAAGAUUGAGAACUACAAAUGACCACUUACCUCUGUGACCCCCUUCGACAAGCCAUUGUUCCCUCUCUCUCCUCUCCAAUCAGCCUGUCAUCAUUUCCCCUCUCUCAGCCCAUGUGCCCCUCUCUCAGAAUGGUCUGAGCUUCUUGCCUGCAGUCCUGACUCCUAGUCAGCCUACCUUACUGGUCUUGCCAUCUCCACAGUCCUUUGACAGCCCUAACUAGUCCGGACUCUCUAUUCUAUGGCUCCUGCCUGACUGAAGCACCUGUUUGUGGUCCUCCUCUCUCAGAUCUUGCUUCCCUACCUCACUCAUCUCUCUCAGCUUCACUCUUCCUCCCUCCCCUCAAUGUCAUGCCUGGGUACUUUAUGCAGGGCCAAGUUGUAACUGAACUUGGUAUUUGUCCUGCACUCCCAUUGCUAUAUAGACCAUAAUUCGGUUGAUCAAUGGAGGCAGGUUCUGCCUUGAACUUGAAGUAUCUGUACAGAGAUCUCUUGGCAAGUGACCAUUACCACAUGGACAUAAACUAUCAAGAUGUGCUCACAACCUGCCUGCCUAGUGCCUCCAAACCUGCUGCACACUCUUCCUGGAUAACUAUGACUGCAUGAAGGAUGGACUCUGUUGUGUUUGGUAGCUUGUUAUGAGACACUAUUACCAAGACAAAUUGGCUGGGGAGCUGAAGUUGAGAGUUUCCUAUUUCUUGGGAUCUAUCCACCAACCCUACACUUGAACUCUGCUCCACCAUAAGACUUUGUGACAUGGUGAGUUUGCCCAUCUCUGAUCUCAGGGAGGAUUCAAGGAGGGCUCAUAAAGGACUCCCACAUCUACAACCCCAAGAUAUAAAAGGAAUCCUGCUUCUGAAGUUAGUUCCACCUCUGAAAGGAACAGGUUAUUCGAGCUAGGUUCAGGAUACUAAGUUAGAGUCGGAUAGCUCCUAACAGACAUGACCCUGCCUUACUCUUUGCUUUCUGGUCAUUCUUUUAUUUCCAUGAGACUAAAGCACCCUGGCAUAGUGACUGAGGUGAAAGGCUGUGACUUUGGCCUCUCUUCAGGGCCUGUCUCAGAAAGUUGGAGCAGUUCUAUGUCCUUCCCACUCCUGUUCAGUGGAUGGAGGAGGACUAUCAGUACCUUCGACAUGUCCCACUGUUAGAAGAGAUUUUCUUAUAUGUACUGAAGACCAUGCAUCUUGCAGCCCCGUGGUUUGUCAUAAUUCUCCAUAGCUCAGCUCUAGGAGCAACUUGAAAAUUUUCCUGCUGGCAUUCUGUCUCCUUGGUAGCAGGUUAGCAAGGCCACAGUUUUAGCUAUAGGAGCCUACUAGGAUGAUUGGGAUAUCUCCCCAGAGGGAUGGAGGUGACUAAAAUCAACUCUUCCCCUUCCCUCUCUCCUGGUUCUUGGAGAAGCAGCCACCACCUGACUGCCAUGUGGUGCUAAGCUGGAGAUAAAUUAACCUAUGAAUGAUAGCAGAGAACGAAGAUGAGCAGCA